This 1085-nucleotide ribosomal RNA is filed under the name Onygenales sp. CBS 138250. RNAcentral's name for it is "SSU rRNA". It matches the Rfam family "Eukaryotic small subunit ribosomal RNA", at positions 59 to 1149 of the family's 1831-position model. The record is from RNAcentral. Lineage: Eukaryota; Fungi; Ascomycota; Eurotiomycetes; Onygenales.
CUAAGUAUAAGCAACUUAUACGGUGAAACUGCGAAUGGCUCAUUAAAUCAGUUAUCGUUUAUUUGAUAGUACCUUGCUACAUGGAUACCUGUGGUAAUUCUAGAGCUAAUACAUGCCUACAACCCCGACUCCGGAAGGGGUGUAUUUAUUAGAUAAAAAACCAAUGCCCUCCGGGGCUCCUUGGUGAAUCAUAAUAACUUCGCGAAUCGCAUGGCCUUGCGCCGGCGAUGGUUCAUUCAAAUUUCUGCCCUAUCAACUUUCGAUGGUAGGAUAGUGGCCUACCAUGGUGGCAACGGGUAACGGGGAAUUAGGGUUCGAUUCCGGAGAGGGAGCCUGAGAAACGGCUACCACAUCCAAGGAAGGCAGCAGGCGCGCAAAUUACCCAAUCCCGACACGGGGAGGUAGUGACAAUAAAUACUGAUAUGGGGCUCUUUGGGGUCUCAUAAUUGGAAUGAGCACAAUCUAAAUCCCUUAACGAGGAACAAUUGGAGGGCAAGUCUGGUGCCAGCAGCCGCGGUAAUUCCAGCUCCAAUAGCGUAUAUUAAAGUUGUUGCAGUUAAAAAGCUCGUAGUUGAACCUUGGGUCUGGCUGGCCGGUCCGCCUCACCGCGUGCACUGGUCCGGCCGGGCCUUUCCUUCUGGGGAGCCCCAUGGCCUUCACUGGCUGUGGGGGGUAACCAGGACUUUUACUGUGAAAAAAUUAGAGUGUUCAAAGCAGGCCUUUGCUCGGAUACAUUAGCAUGGAAUAAUAGAAUAGGACGUGCGGUUCUAUUUUGUUGGUUUCUAGGACCGCCGUAAUGAUUAAUAGGGAUGGUCGGGGGCGUCAGUAUUCGGCUGUCAGAGGUGAAAUUCUUGGAUUUGCCGAAGACUAACUACUGCGAAAGCAUUCGCCAAGGAUGUUUUCAUUAAUCAGUGAACGAAAGUUAGGGGAUCGAAGACGAUCAGAUACCGUCGUAGUCUUAACCAUAAACUAUGCCGACUAGGGAUCGGACGGUGUUUUUAUUUUGAUGACCCGUUCGGCACCUUACGAGAAAUCAAAGUUUUUGGGUUCUGGGGGGAGUAUGGUCGCAAGGCUGAAACUUAAAG